UGAGCUCUAACUAGACGUGAUUUUCUUGUCGUGAUCCCUAGCCUCUCCCGCUGUGGAAGGCUCUAUAAGAAAACAAUCAACUAUUGGGGGGUGAGAACUAUAAACAUACAGUUUCCAAUGGAUAACGCCGUCGCCAACUGAAGCAAAGAUAUAAAAACUGCAGUAAUGUAAAGAGGGAUAUGAAAUAACUGAAGGUAAAGUAGUUAUACUACUAACAUGUC
RNAcentral lists this long non-coding RNA (221 nucleotides) under Ananas comosus (pineapple). Its description in RNAcentral is "long non-coding RNA (ACOM_LNC005243)". The record is from RNAcentral. Lineage: Eukaryota; Viridiplantae; Streptophyta; Magnoliopsida; Poales; Bromeliaceae.